This 156-nucleotide small RNA is filed under the name Salmonella enterica subsp. enterica serovar Paratyphi C. RNAcentral's name for it is "STAXI". It matches the Rfam family "STAXI RNA". The record is from RNAcentral. Lineage: Bacteria; Pseudomonadati; Pseudomonadota; Gammaproteobacteria; Enterobacterales; Enterobacteriaceae.
UUGGGUGAUCACAUAACCAAUGUUCCGGCAAUCUGAGAGGAACGCCUUCGGGUGAUUGCACACCAAUGUCACCGUAGCCUGAGAGGUGACGCCUUCGGGUGGUACAGCCCUUUAAUCUUUGGAAAUGGCUGUCGCAUUUUUUGCGAUGAAGAUAUC